This 585-nucleotide ribosomal RNA is filed under the name Cladocoryne haddoni. RNAcentral's name for it is "partial 16S ribosomal RNA". It matches the Rfam family "Bacterial large subunit ribosomal RNA", at positions 1816 to 2597 of the family's 2925-position model. The record is from RNAcentral. Lineage: Eukaryota; Metazoa; Cnidaria; Hydrozoa; Anthoathecata; Cladocorynidae. RNAcentral also lists the same sequence under 1 other name.
GCCCUUGAAAAAAUCAAAGGUGUAACCUGCCCAAUGAUUUAAAAAUAAGACUAAUAAAAAGUUUAAAUUAAAUUUAAAGGACGCGGUAUAUUGACCGUGAUAAUGUAGCAUAAUCACUCGCCAUUUAAUUGAUGGAUAGUAUGAAAGGUUAAACGAAUAUAACACUGUCUUAAAUAUAAAUCUUAUAAAAUUAAAAUAAUAGUAAAGAUGCUAUUUAAAACUGUAAGACGAGAAGACCCUAUAGAGCUUAACUAUAACUCUUUCUAAAAACUAAAUUAUUAAAAGAGAGAUAGGUAGUUUAGUUGGGGCGACUACUUUCUAAAAAAAACGAAAGCAAACAAAUAUUAAUUAAAUGAUUUACUGUAUAAACAAUAAUUUUAACAGUUAUAAAAAUAGGUAAUAUUGACCCGUUAUAAAUUAAUAAUAGUUAUAACGAUUAAUAAAUAAAAGCUACCUUAGGGAUAACAGGAUAAUCUUGUUUUAGAGACCCAAUCGAAUACAAGGUUUGUCACCUCUAUGUUGAAUUAAGACAUCCUAAAAGUGCAGAAGCUUUUAAGGGUAGGUCUGUUCGACCUAUAAAGUCUU